This 177-nucleotide ribosomal RNA is filed under the name Streptomyces auratus AGR0001. RNAcentral's name for it is "partial 23S ribosomal RNA". It matches the Rfam family "Bacterial large subunit ribosomal RNA", at positions 407 to 585 of the family's 2925-position model. Lineage: Bacteria; Bacillati; Actinomycetota; Actinomycetes; Kitasatosporales; Streptomycetaceae. The record is from RNAcentral.
CCCAAGUAGCACGGGGCCCGAGAAAUCCCGUGUGAAUCUGGCGGGACCACCCGUUAAGCCUAAAUAUUCCCUGGUGACCGAUAGCGGAUAGUACCGUGAGGGAAUGGUGAAAAGUACCGCGGGAGCGGAGUGAAAUAGUACCUGAAACCGUGUGCCUACAAGCCGUGGGAGCGUCGC